CCAAUAGCAUAUAUUAAAGUUGUUGCAGUUAAAAAGCUCGUAGUUGAAUUUCGGGAUCAAUACGUCGGUCGUGCCUCUGGUAUGUACUGGUGUUAUUGAUUCCUCCUUUCUGAUGAACCAUGAUGUCAUUAAUUUGGUGUUGUGGGGAGUCAGGACUGUUACUUUGAAAAAAUUAGAGUGUUUAAAGCAGGCCUACGCUUGAAUACAUUAGCAUGGAAUAAUGAAAUAGGACGUUCGAACCUAUUUUGUUGGUUUCUAGGAUCAACGUAAUGAUUAAUAGGGAUAGUUGGGGGCAUUAGUAUUCAAUUGUCAGAGGUGAAAUUCUUGGAUUUAUUGAAGACUAACUACCGCGAAAGCAUUUGCCAAGGAUGUUUUCAUUAAUCAAGAACGAAAGUUAGGGGAUCGAAGACGAUCAGAUACCGUCGUAGUCUUAACCAUAAACUAUGCCGACUAGGGAUCGGAUGAUGUUAAUUUUUUAAUGGCUCAUUCGGCGCCUUACG
RNAcentral lists this ribosomal RNA (500 nucleotides) under uncultured Glomeromycotina. RNAcentral describes it as "partial small subunit ribosomal RNA". It matches the Rfam family "Eukaryotic small subunit ribosomal RNA", at positions 591 to 1092 of the family's 1831-position model. Lineage: Eukaryota; Fungi; Glomeromycota. The record is from RNAcentral.